GUGGAAGACUCAGCUACUAAAACAGAAGAGAAGGCUGUAGGAGGGAGCCUUCAUCCUCCUGCACAACACAUCACUCUAACUGAGAACUCAGACUGUAAGCCAUCAAAAGCUGACCUGGGAGAUGGGUUUAUUAUUCCACCAGGGUCCUUUGACUCUCUGUUGCAUGAUCGAAGCAUACUUACAGGAUGUUUUCCUACCUCAGCUGAAUUGCACUGCUUUGCUUCAAUAAGCAAAAGACCAGCAGAUACAAGCCAUGCUGCCACAAACACUGACCCAGUUCCAUCUUUUGCUGCUAUUGGAACAAACACAGAAAUUGUGGCCUUGACGAUUCACCAGCCAAUUUCUGCAAUAUCAUAUAAAGAUGCUGAAACUGAAACAGAGCCAUCCACAAAAUUUGGAAAAAGACCCAAGGCUUCAGCGGAGGAAACAGCAUCGCCUGCCAUGCUGCCACCCG
Molecule: long non-coding RNA, 454 nt
Organism: Polypterus senegalus (gray bichir)
Lineage: Eukaryota; Metazoa; Chordata; Cladistia; Polypteriformes; Polypteridae
Exons: 6
Source: RefSeq, a predicted model, not a curated record